GUCACUCUGGCCAUAGCUAAAUUAAAUAGACUCUCAGAAGAGUUAAAGAGAAACUCUGGAGUUACUGAUCCCUGGGAAAAAUGGUUUGGUUGGAUGACUGGUUGGCAGAGAGCUUUAUUCCAGAUUGGUAUUGCCUUACUAAUUUUUCUUUUUAUUCUCGCUCUUCUCAUUUGUUGUGUCCUCCCAUGCCUAAGGAAAUUCCUGCAGAAAACUGUAGACCAAGCAACACCAACCUUCACUUAUCUGACAAUCGAUGAUCAAGACCUCAUCUCACCCUGUAUUCCGCUACAAACUCUCCCUUAUACUGAUGAAGUGCAGAAAGUCUAGGAA
Non-coding RNA from Pelobates cultripes (western spadefoot toad), 330 nucleotides. Lineage: Eukaryota; Metazoa; Chordata; Amphibia; Anura; Pelobatidae. The record is from the annotation of a GenBank genome assembly.